AACGCAAAUUGCGCCUUCUUUCGGAAGGCAUGUCUGUUUGAGGGCACCAUUUAACAAAUAAUGUGCGCGUCGUUUUUUACGAGCGAUGUGCACACGUUGAUGAGCUUUUCCGAAAAAACCAGGUUUUUUUGGUGGCACAUAAUGAACAGCGUGGGCUUUUUCUUCGAUUCUCGUGUAGUAAAUUUCAAAACAACGCUUGGAUUGAGAAAAAGUGCGUGCCGCGCAAUGGGUGUGGCGAAUUUACCCCUGCCCCAAUGCCACUCUUUCCCUGCGAAAGAACAAUCUUUUAUUCAGGGCCUCAAAUCAGACAAGAGUACCCGCUGAACUUAA
Molecule: unclassified non-coding RNA, 330 nt
Filed under: uncultured Paraglomerales
Lineage: Eukaryota; Fungi; Glomeromycota; Glomeromycetes; Paraglomerales
Description: sequence contains ITS2
Source: RNAcentral